GAUGAACGCUGGCGGCGUGCCUAACACAUGCAAGUCGAACGAACAAGCCCAGCUCUCUGGGUGGUGUAGUUGCCAACGGGCGAGUAAGUCGUGAGUAACUUGCCCUCAACUCUGGCAUAAGUCAGGGCAACUGGGUCUAACACCUGAUAGGUGCUACCACCGCCUGGUGGGUGCUGGAGAGAUUUAUCGGUUUUGGAUGGACUGGCGGCCUAUCAGCUUGUUAUCGAAGUAAUGGUUCACUAACGCGAUGACGGGUAGCCGGCAUGGGAGGGUGACCAGCCACAAUGGGACUAAGAGACGCACCAGACUGCAACGGGAGGCAGCGGUGGGGAGUAUUGCACAGUGGGCGCAAGCCUGAUGCGGAGGCGCCGCGUGAGGGAUGACGGCCUUCGGGUUAUGAACCUCUUUCAGUAGAGAAGAAGCGAAAGUGACGGUACCUGCAGAAGAAGCACCGGCUAACUACGUG
RNAcentral lists this ribosomal RNA (466 nucleotides) under uncultured bacterium. Its description in RNAcentral is "partial 16S ribosomal RNA". It matches the Rfam family "Bacterial small subunit ribosomal RNA", at positions 28 to 507 of the family's 1533-position model. The record is from RNAcentral.